This 32940-nucleotide long non-coding RNA is filed under the name Phoenix dactylifera (date palm). RNAcentral describes it as "long non-coding RNA (PDAC_LNC004397)". Lineage: Eukaryota; Viridiplantae; Streptophyta; Magnoliopsida; Arecales; Arecaceae. The record is from RNAcentral.
UUUGAGGGGUGUUUUUUUUUUUUUCUUUUCAAAACGAAACGGAGGAGGAGGAGGAAGGGGGGUGUAUGAGAAAAUUUCAAGGGCAAUAUGGUAAUUACACUAAAGAUUAGUUUGGGUAUUUUCUUUCUGAUUUUUGGGGGGUGUCCUUAGCAAUAGGGGGGGUGUAUAUAGAACCACCCGUGACGGCUGUGGCCCCUUUAAUGAUGACACUUGGUUUUGGCCAUUAUUACGGAUCAGGUAAAGAAAGAGGUUUCAGUGGCGGAGAGCGCCCGGACGCAGGCGGCAGAGAUUAGUCAUAUUUCCUCCUUAGAAGGACUUUUGAUAGCUCGAAAUAUCUGGAGUUCCCAUUCUACCUUGGCAGCUUCUCGUAUGGUAUUUUUCACCUGGAAGCCCCCACCCCCAAGCUUCCUCAAGAUCAAUUUUGAUGGGUCGGUGCUGGAUGGUGGCACAAAGGGUGGAGCGGGUUUCGUCAUUAGGGACCCAAACUCCAGGGUUGUGGCGGCGGAAGGUUAUCAGUUAUUUGACUGCACGGUUCCUGAAGCGGAGCUGAGAGCUACCUGGGCGAGUCUUCGACAUGCUCAGUGUGUGCUUUCAGCUAGUUCGGUCAUUUUGGAGGGUGACUCGGCUACGGACAUUAGUUGGAUCCAGGGGAUCAGAGGGUCGAUGCUGUCGACUAUCCCUUGAUCCGUGAUAUCUGGAUGAUGAUGAGGGACGAAUGGGUGGUCCAGGCGAAGCAUGUGUUUAAAGAAGCCAGCAGAGCUGCUGAUUGGGAGGCUACGUAUGUGGCUAACCAUGCCAACAGUACCCUAUGGGUAGGGGAUGGGGAGCUGCCUCGCGAGCUCCGUGAUAUUUUGUUUUCCGAUUUUAUUAGGUGUAUCCGUACACGUGUUGUAUAGAUCAUCCGGUUUAGCGGGAAAAAAAAAGAAAAAAAGAAAAGAAGAAGAAGCAGAAGAAGAGAGAGGUUUGACGCCGUCGGCAAGGAUGACUUUUUCUAUGUGAAGCUUAUACACUCCUACGUUUAUGGACGCAAAUAAAUUUUGACUUUUCAAAAUUAAAAAAAAAUCAAAAAAUAAUUUGAAAAUCAAAAGGAGAAACUUAUAAUUUCAACUAAUGUAAAAUUUUAAAUAAUAAUCAGAAAUUACAUAGUUUUUGGUGUUGAUUUGUGAGCAAGGAACUUUAUGCGUUUGCACCUAUGCGCGCCCGUUAUGCAUGUGCGCGUGAGAGCACGUUUCCUUAAAGUUUUUUUGAACAAAAUAGUUGAGGAUUAUAAGUUGUUAAAGAUAUAUAUGCGCCUAACAAAGAUAAAUAAAGUUUCUAUGUAAAUUAGACCUAUUUAGAUGCUGCACAACCCGUUUAGCCCGUCCGAGCCUAAAGUAUUUUGGACGAAUCUAAGCCUGAAUUUUAAGCCUGACAAACCGGAUAAGAUCUAAAAUUUAAGCAUUCUUGCACAUACGGAUAUAUAUAUAUAUACACACACACACAUACAUACAUACAUACAUACACAACCUAUUACCACAGAGCUCGCCCGGUUGAUUAAGGAAAAGAGGUGGUGGUGACUAGAGUAAUCACGUCCAUCACCUCCCAACACGAAGGAGGGGCUCUCCUCUCGUCUUGACACCUCAAGGAUGCGAGUUCCCCAUCAGCUUGAUGGUCCAGAUUAUCGUCCUCUCAUCCACCGAGUCUAUCGCCUCCAUCACUGUUGACUCUGAUGUCGUGUCGCUCGAUGGGCGCCAUGAUGCGCUCAAGAUCGAGACGGAGAUCAAGGAGGAUCACUUCAGUUUCACAACCAGGUACAUUUUAAUGCCAUAUGGAAGUUAUUAGCGCCACACAGGGUUAAAGUUUUUUGUUCGAAAUUUCGAUGGAAUAAACUCCCAUGUAAGCAAAUGUUAUAUAGAAGAGGUAUCAUAAAUGAGAAUCAUCUCAAGUGUGAUAAGUUUCCCCUAUGCAGUCAGUAAGAUCAGUUCAUAUUUUACUGGAAGGAUACUAAUGCAGCUUAUGAUCUGAACUCCUCCAGUCCACAUUCAAGGUACUGGUGCAGUCUUCAUAAUUAGGAGAAUACCCAACAAUCCACAGAAACUAUUCAAUGGCUGCCCCCACCCAUGGGUGUUUUGAAGGUAAAUUUUGAUGGCUCACUGUCAAAUGAUCAAGCUUCUGCAGGAUUUGUAAUCAGAGAUGCCAAUGGCACACUUAUGGAUUGCUAGUAAAAAAGUUCUUACCUUCUCUGUUCCUUUUGCUGAACUCAUAGCUGCUUGGGAAGGGAUCAAAAAUGCAAUAUCCCCGGUUUCAGACUUCACAAUUGUGGGUAGAGGGUGAUUCAGCUACACUGAUAGCAUGGAUUAAUUCAGGAGGGACACCUAAAGUCCAAGCUAAUCCCUUUUUAAAUUAUAAUUUUUCACUUACUUUUAAAGCCACACAUAUCCAUUGAGAAAGGUAAUAGGGCAGCAGAUUGGGCAGCUUGGAAGGCAAUUGAACAUGAAUUUGAAAUGGAUGGAAACCAUCAAGCUCCUUUUGAUCUUAGUUAUAUUUUGAUGUCAGAUGCUUAUGGUGUAACUUAUAUAAGACAUUAGUUAUUUUCAGGCUACGCCUCCUACUUGUACCAAAAUAAAUAAAUAAAGGAGACCUUGAAUAAAAGAUGGAUACAUACAAAAUAAAAUUAAAAAAAAAAAAGGGCAUGAUGCUCGGCAUAAGGGACAAGCAGCACAAACUGGGACCCCUGGUUGUUGCAGGUUAACAUCAUCCAUCAUCAAUUAGAGCAAUAGAGUUUUUUCUCUCUUUUUUUUUAAAGCAUAGGUUGAUGAGUAAUUGUUAUUAUAAUAUAGCUAAUAUAGUUUAUUCCUAUCGUCUCACAUUGUAUGCAAUAUGAAUAUAUAGUUGUAAGCUAAAAUAAUUUGUUUGAGAUUCAUAACGCUAUAGAACAUAAACUAUGUACUACCGAACACCUAAAAUAUAGGAGGAUAGAAUCCCCCCCUACAUAUAGCAUUGCAAGUUGGCACAUUUUCUCAAAUAAAACAAUUGCAACCUUCGAAAAUGAUAUGGCCAAGAGAAAUCAUUAUUAAUUUGGUCAACUACAGGCAAGCAUUGGGUCAGUUAGCAAAAACAACCUAGAAAGAAUUAGCAAUGAUAUUGAUUGUUGUAGUCAAACAAGUAAAGGGACCAGAAUGCCCCUUUUACUUAUAGGGGCAGGUUUAAAGGCUCAUAGAACUUUGGCAAGGUAGAUCUUCCUAAGAAUAAAAUAAAGUUAGACUAGAUCAUUAGUGGUUAUUAGAAGGUAGAAGCUAUUAGAUUUCAACAUGUUUUAGGAUAACACAUCAUUUGGUCAUUAGAUUUUUAUAUGGAGACUCUAAUUAAGAAGGGUUUAAACAUGCUAGCUAGUACAAGACCAAUGACAAGAGAACACUAAAGUCGUACUGCCAAAUGAAUGAUACAAAAUUUGUAGGUCACGCUAGGAGUUGAUUAUGAACAAACAAACACAGAAUAAUAGCACGCGGUCGUGUCCUAACAAAGCUAACGCCAAGUCCACCUUGUUUUAGUUUUUAAAUGUUUUCUAGGGUUCAGACAUAGCAGUGGGAUCUUAACUAUGCGAAGGUUUGAGCUUCCCACGCAAGUUGCCAUUUUAUAUUCCACAAAAAUAAACAACCCAUGGUCAUCAAGGACUCAUUUGAUUUGCAGAAAGAAUUUUUCUCACUCGAAUGUUUUUUUCUGAAAAGUUGUUGCAUGCCUAAAAAAUUAUUUUUUGCAAAUUUGGUUGACCAUGAAAAGUGGUACAUUCCAAAAGUGACUUAUAUUUGGUUAAGCAUCUAUUUUUUUUAAAAAAAUUAUGUAAAAUAUUUGUAUGUCCUUAAUAAAGAAAAAGAUUUUAUCCCAUUCUAUCUAAAAGCUUAAAGAUACUUUUGAACAAAAAAAUUAUCUCAAUUCUUAGCCGAUGGGAAUUGAACUUUUCCAUUUAAUAUUGAAAUCUUAUUUCUCCAGAAAAGCUACUUUUCUAUUUCUUUCCUUGAAAACUCCAAUCAAAUAUGAGGCAUUUCUUUAUUUUUCUAUUGACCAUAAUUUUUUUUCCCCUCCUCUUCCCACCAACCAAACUAAGUUCCAAGUGUUGGGAGGAAGAAUGGGCACUCAGCUAGUUGUGCGCCCUAUACUUUAGUAACCAACAUAGCAUCAAAGAAACCAAACAUCUAUUUUUAUAUACAAAAGAAGACUUCAUACUCUAUCGAAGGAAGAAUAAUGCAAGAAAUGUAUAGCUAGUGCAAGAUGGUCAAAUUUUCUUAGACCAAUCAUGGUCCCAAGUGUAUUUCCAUAUAGACCUAAUUCUGAACAACCAAAUGAUGCAUUUCCUUAUUCAAGCUUGGACUCAAGUGAUCUCGAGGUAUAGGAGCUGUGGAUCUAAUAUAAGGAUAAGAUAAUGCUUUUCUAAGUCGCACCUUUCCACUCUCACCAUUCCAACUGACCACAUCUUAUCCUACCCUCCUAACCUCUCAGCAUUUACCACCUGAUUAGGGUUGACUUGUCUUAGAAUUGAUACUAAACUAGAACUGGUUGCCAAAUUGGCCUCAGGUCUUGUCUUCACUACAUGGCUCAGAUAUGAGAACUGAGGGAAGAAAAGGUCAUGGGGACCUGGCUGGCUUGCUUACUUCAAGUGGCUUCAGCUCUUUUAGAUUCCUUUUAACAGUUCCUAAGGUUGGAUUGGUAACCGCGACAAUUACUUCUUCAUGCACAUGUGAAAGAAUAGAUUCUCUCUUUAGUUAUUAUUUCUAUGCAGCCUCAGACCUAGUAAAUGGUCUUUCAAUGAUCUAAGAAGUAUCAAAGUUACCAGCUCAUGGCUCCUAGGGAAAGAACAUAGUGGAGGAUGACAACAUUUUGAGCCUACAACUUUAUGAACUGAGCAAACCCUCUGCUAAUCAAGAAAAAAAGAAAGAUCAUCUCUACUUGGUGAACAUAGUCAAAAGUUAGGCCAAGCUUCUUGAUGGAUCCGCGAUCUAACCAGGUCAAGUUUCUGUACCAACCCUAGAGGAAGCAUCUUCAAAAUAUAAAUCAUGUGUAUUAAUAUAGUUAUUACUUCUCUGUCUUUGCAAAUACACUCUGAUUUAGCUAUCCUUUUAUCUAUUCAUGUAGCACUCUUCCUUUUUUCUCCUAGAGCAAAAAUCCUAAGAGCUAAUGCCACUUAAGACUCAAAAAAUGGACUCCACUUAUAAACAAAGGGGUAUGACCACCAAGCUAACACUCAGGUCAUUAUUCAUAUAGGAUUUCAACCAUCAAAAAUUUUCACUAUUAGAAUUUUUGUUACUUAAUGUGACAGCUUGCAUGUUAACUCAUUCCUGCCACUAUCUACUCAGAUUGUUGGGAAUCCAAGAGAGUCAGGGUCUCCAAGAUUUCAAACACCAUAGAGGAUUCUUGCUCAGCUUCCCUACUCCAAUUCUCCUGCUUUUCUGGUGUGGUGUAGCCACAGCGAUGGUUAAAAAUUCAUUGUUGUGUGUCACCUAAACCUACUUGCAGAACUCCUCUAUUCAGGAACUGAGAUGACACUAGACUUUGUAUCAUAUUCAGGAAAAGCCAGCCAAGCAAACUUAAUUGGAUCAAAGUCUUGGAAUACACUUGGAAGAGUCAGAACUCUCAAAAGUUUCUUAAAUGCUAUAUCACUCGAGGAGGCCCUCUAAUAAGAAAAAUCCUGUCUAAUGCCUUUUUUUAAAGGUUCAACAUUUAGAACUACAUCUGCAGACUGCAGCCAAAGAUGUGCAAUAGCCAUAGACUUUUUUAGACACGUGUCUCGCACUUAUGCUAAACCUUGUAUACAACUCUGGUUUGUAGGACUCGCAUUGAGAGUGCUUCUAUCUUGUAUAUAGGGCUGAUGCCCUUGCAGUUUGUAUCUAGUUACAAUGAUCCAUAGAUACCAGUUCACUUCUAAAUUCUAAUUGUUCAUAGACUCAAUAUUAAAUUGACACAUAUCUCAACCUGUUUACCUUUAAUUUUUCAGCCAAUCAGUAGAUUCAACCUUCAAGAGUUUAAAUGUGGUCUAGCUUGCUGCAGUCUAGGGAUCUACUAACAAGAUAGCCAUCAAAGACUCAAGUUCUCCAAACAAAUGUGGACUAGCUUGUUGCAUGUCGCCUCCCAUGCAACCCAGGGGGAAAGGCCAGUAUCACUGAUGGAACUAAAAACAUUUAAUCCACAACUAGGUUUAUAUAAAGCUUUCCUUGCCAAGGGGACAACCCACAAUCAAGGAAAGACAUCUUAGUUACUAUUCCAGUUAAAUUUGCCAACAGAAGGAUGAAAAAACAAUUUGCCAAAACGAAAAAAUAAUAGAACAAACUAGAGGUGGAGCAUUUAAUAUUAAACCAAAAAUUUGUUAUUUUUAACUUGAAUAGUUUGUCAUUACAAGAGAACUCAAUUUUCAUAUUUGAAGACAUUAUAGGAGCAAAGACCAUAGUAUACAUUAGACCGCAACACUAAAUGUUCAAUAACAUUGAUCUCUUGAUCAGACGUUGAAGGCACUGGCCUCAUAACUAAAACCAAAGGCGCGCCAUUUUACAGUUACAACUGGGGUAGUACUAGUUGAAGAUGCACUACACAUGAAACUUACUCAUCCUGGAUGAUGAUGGCCUCCUCUGCCACUCCCCAGCAGCAGCUGACACGUUUGUCCCCACAGAAUGAGGGACAACAGCUCUGCAAUGAAAAAAAGUGAUGAAAAUAAAGCCCAACCUGAUAAAAUUAGUAUUCUAGUAUGUUGACGUUUGAAGAAAAGAAUGUAGAUAUUUUGGGAGAUGGUGGGGGGGGCGGUAAGUUUAUGACAAGAUAAAUUUAACUAACAUUAAUCAGUAGCCAUAAACUACAGAUAUCUUCUUGUACAUAAUUUUUCUGUAUCUCACCUACAUUGGGUCGUUUUUAUUCCCCCUUCAGUGCUUUCCUCAACUGACAGAAGAAUAGGAAGCAAGCACAUCCCACACGUAAAAAAGAGCAUAUAUUAAUUAAUCAUCAGGUAGUUAGAGCUAGUACGGUUAAGAACCUGGUCCAUGAAAAAGUCAUCCAAAUGUUAGCCCUCUAGUGGACCAACAACAAUGAGAUUACAAUUGCAAAUGAUUAUGGUGACCCGAUGGAGGAUUUAUGUUAUAUAGUAGGAUUACUGGAAGACGAAGGCUCUGUAUGGAGUUUGCUUAAAAUUUGCUAUCCAAGGGGUUGCUCCUGCUUUGUAAUCUCACUCAAACUUGCACAAAUUAUUUUUUACCACAUUGUCAUUAUCCUGAAUAUAUAAAGAUGACACAACUCAAGUUGCUUAAGUUCGUUUAAGGAACAUGCUAUAUUUAAUAUGAACUUCGUAACGCAAGAUCAGCUGAUAUUUUCUAGUCUACUAGGCCUGAGAUUUGGAAUUCACACUUCCCAGGCAACACUGCUUAUGUUUUUUUAAAAACCAAAUUGUGCAAUCUGUGUAACUCAUAUUAGGAUCAAAGGCAUAGGAUGACAUAAAUCACCAAAAAUGAUACCUAUGAAUUUCAAAAAAAAUAACACACAAGAGUUUAUAUUUUUAAAACAACGCACCCUGCAUCUGACUGGCAGUUGAUACGCAAGAAACAGAUAACAUUUUUGAAUGUGUUCCUUCAAAUAAAUUCUAUAGCUUGGUCCUAAAGGUGUGUGUUGUGAACCAAAUGUAAGGUCUGAAGUCAGCUAUUCAUUAGAGAUUUUCAUCCCAGGCAUGUCUUUUCAGUUGUUCCAUCCUUUAAGGCUUAUCUUUCCCCCCUCAUAAGAGGGCCCAAAAGGUAUAGCUUUCAAAUCAGUACAAGCCGUCAAUCUCUCUCUGAACAGAAAGAAUAUUCAAAAGGGCGCGAUCUAAUAGGGCUUCCAUAUUAUUCAUCUUCAUUGCAAGCAAUAUCAUUCAUCUUUUUUCUACUGCCCUGAGAGCCUGAUUCAAUGUUAGGCUACGGAACUUUGUAAAUGAUUUCUUUUUCAGAAUAUUGAGACCUUCCUUUUAGUGCCUCAGAGGCAAACAAAAAGGAAAGCAGUGAGGAAAAGAACGAGAAGAAAAUUGUUUGAGAAACAAACAGGGUCUUGAGUGAGUUGAGGGUGGACCCAAAGCAUGGAACAAGGUUAGAAAAAUUGGCAAGGCAUUCUCAUCCCUUUAUCUCCCUUGCCUUCCUCCCUUUCUAAGAUUUAAGCACCUCUACUUUAAGAUUGAAGAAACUGCACCAGUCCACAUCCAUGGUUUCCAUACAGAGAUUGAACUAAGAGUAUCUUUCAAUUUAUGAAAGAGGAAAGAUUACAAAGUUGAGCUGUCUUGGAAUCAAAGAACACACCAAAUGCCACACUGCCAUUUCUCCACCCCAUUAGCUACUCUGUUAAAUCCAGAUAUCAAGUGUUGUGACUCCAUUCUUGCAGUGGCAUUUACUCAAACUAAAAAACGCAUGACAGGUGAGGCUUGAAGGAUGAAAUUCUCUAGAAAUCUCUUCAGUUAUCUGCUACUGCAGAAUGUUUUUUGCAUGGCUAAUAUUCUAAGAAAUCCUGUUCUCCAUUCUUUAGAAUGAGAGUGAUAGAAAUCACAUUAAUGGAAUCAUCAGAAAGGUCAAGUGCAUCCCACAUACUCUCUUUUAAGGUCCCCAAGAAGAUUGUGAGACAAAGAAAUAGCUGCAAGGCCUUAUCCCCUUUACCGCCUCCAUUCCCAAAACUACCACCUUGAUGUCCUAAAAUCUUCUUUCAAAAUCCAUGGCCUCCGGUUCUCCAGUCCCCUGAAUAUAGUUUCUACCUAUGCUUACUGGGAUUUUAAUGCUAUCUUUCCAACAGUACUGCCAUUGAUGCUAUUGCUUCCAUUUUUCGAAUGCACUACAUGAAAGUGGUGGUGAUCUUAUUUCCAUCCUACCAGACUGUCCUCAAUCAACAGAACCAUGCAAUCUACUCUCUCACUACUCAUAUCAACUACGCUAUCAACAAUACAACAUAAUAUUUAAAGGUUCUCUUAAAACAAAAUUAGAUUAUUACUUGAUGAAAAAUUUGUAAUCAUCAUAAUUAAUGCUGUAAUAAUAAUUUACAAGCCUACUCCCUCCCAUUUUUUGAGUUAAAUUUGAUAUGUUUAAGCUUUAAGUAAAGAGAAAACCAUUAGUUAAAAUUUUUGUGCAGGCAUUUAAUACUUCCAGCUUAUAGAUAAAUUAUCUUUGUAUGGAAGUGAUCAACAGAAUGUGCUUUUUUCAGGUCAAAACUUUAUCCAUUUGUGGAAAUAAUUAAAGAAAUUAAGUGCUUACCUUGGAACAGGUGCAUAUGAUAAGAGUCAUCCAGCUCCAUCCCUCUGGUGAAUAAGUUGAUGAACAUUCAGCAGCUUCAUGCAGAAAAUACAAUAAUGGAGGCAUCAACUGCAUCUCAUAAUUUCGUGAUGAACCACAAAACUUGCAGGUGCCGCAUUCAGCCAAGUCAGUUGUAGCCAAAAGUGGAUUACCACCAUAUGAAUACCUAUGGAAUAGGGAAGUAAAGGACAAGAAAAAACAUUUAGAUUUUCAACGACAAUCAAACAGAAAUACAAAAAAAAAAGAUCAAUCCUCAAAAAUCAAUGGGGCAGAUGUUAUACGGAGGAUUCUUACUGUUGCUUCUGAUCAACAUCAUAAACUAAUAUGAAAUCAAAAAUCAUUUUUUUGAGGUUAUUUGCCUCAUCAAGUAAAUGUAAAAUAUAUUGCUUUAAUGGUUUGAUAUGAUGUUGUGCAUGAUUUAUGGUCUAAAAGCAUCCGAAUUUGUUGAAUUUUGGUUACACAUGUUUUAUGAUGUCUAGCUCAUGAUCAGUGGUGUAGAUUUCAAUUUAUGUGUCUUUUCAUAUAGUUUAGAAAACUGAUAUUAUUAACACUAUCAUUCUUAUGCUCACAUGAUAUGGACUAGAGGCCUCAAAAAUACAUGAUCUUUUGUUUCUUAAUGGUUUUUGUUUUUGUUGUAUAGGUUAAUAGGAUUGAGACCUCAAUCCUUUCAGAAGGAGAGUAGACCAAUUAUAUAUAUAUGCGAGUGUGUGCGCGGACGUACAUAUGUAUCCAUGUAUUUAUGUACGUGUAUAUGUAUGCAUAUAGCAUGAAAAGCAUGAGUUGAGCACCUUGGAUCUGUCAUUUUUGCCCAUGUAGAGUGUUUCUUAAAAAAAAUUGUUUUGUAAACUUUAGAAACAAGUAUUCAAUCACGAAUAAAAAUGUGCAAAAAUACUUCACCAUGCAAAUAAAUUCUGCUACUCACUCUUUGUGAUCCUCUCUUUCCCACAUAGUUUGUUUCUUUCUCUUCUUUCUAUCCCACUCUCCACCCCACCUCCUCUUCCACCCAUCUGAUCCAAUGCCAUAUCUCGCACCCACUCCCUCCAACAUCCUCUUCAAUCCAUCCAAUCUGACACCAAGUCCACAUUCUCCUUCUGAUCCAAGCAGAAUAGCUUUGCUCCAUCCUAACAUCUCUAUUCUACAAGGAGAAAGGUUGGAUCUAUUGUUGCCGAGCUAUCCAAAUUCAUAUUGACUCAAACUUAACCUCAAAGCAGUUGUAUAUGAUUCUUUCCCUCUCUGACAAUGGUUAUAUGUGGUGACCCACGCAAGGACACAUGAUCCAACUUUCUCUCAUUCCAUAUGCCAACAAUGCCACAGCCUCCUCAUUUUCUGCCAACUAACACUAAUUAUCAAAAGGAAAAGCAGACAGGUGGAUGUUGUCCUCCCACUAUCAUCUAGUUUUGGGCAAUAUAGUAUUUCCACUCCCCCCGAACUGCCAUGCAGAUGUCUAUCUACUUCAAUUAAAAUGACAAGACAAUAUUGAACAAAUUAAAUAUGAUUACCCCUUGCACUGCAACCCCUAACAUCCAAAUAUCAGGUUAAAAUUGACUGACUUGAGCAUCUAUCAGUAAAAAUAAAUUUAUAUAUGAAAAACUAUUUAAGUUGUAUGACGUAGUAAAUUAAUUAUUCAAAAAACAUGCAAAAUAAAUUAAUUCUUAUUUCAUAUUUAGUUCCCAUGACUGUAUAUAUUUAGUUAUUAAAAAAAAACAAGACAUCUUUUUAUUUAAUUGAUUUUUUUGGUUCAUAUGUCCUUCUAAGGCCCCUCUAGGUGAUCGAAGGAUGCAACAUGUUAAAUGCACAAUAUAUCACAUGCAUCACAAUUGCUAGAUCUUCAGGUCCUUGACAGAAUGAAAGCAACCCCAUGGAUAUGUUUGCUGAAUGGAUGCUACAAUAGGCUUUAUACAUGCUAUAAUGCAGUACAGCUAAACUCGUAUACAUCUUGACAAAAUUAAAACCCCUCUACAUUAUUUUUUUCUUUUUUUACAGAAAUUAUCAUAAGGAGACAAUAUCCAGAUCUGAGUGUUAACAUAACAUCAUAUUAGCAGCAUUUGGCUCAUUCUGGCAGCAUAGCAGUUGGUUCUUGUUCCAUGCUUAGUGUUCUUUUUUGUAGGGGGUCACUCUUUCCCAAUUUCCCUUAACACCCCAAACCUUGCUGCAUGCAGGAUUUGAACCCGUUUUGUAGUACUCAGAGGACUUUACCAACUUGGUGAGCUGACACCUUCCACGCUUAUUGUUGCUUGAGCAGCAGUUUUUGUAAAUGUUGGAAAAUGAUUUUCAUGUGUGUAUAAUGUUUGCACAUUUGGUCUCUUACAUUUACAGCAAGUUGCUUACCUGGUAUCAAUACUCCACCUUUUUUGCAACCAUGUUUGUGCAGUUAAACCAGAUGGCAACUAGUAAGAAUUGCUAGAAUAGAGGGGGUUUGGAAGAUAGACUCAUGAAUGAUAGAUGGUCUGCCAACUUUGAUAAUUCAUGAAUGUGCAACAAAGACCAGAAAGGGCACUAACAUGAGUAGCCUAGAGUUAUGUUGAAUAGCAUGGAAGAAUAAAGCGAGGACCUAAGAACACUUGGACAGAAGCUGUGAGAAAAGUUUUUGAAAUAGCUUUUAUUGAAGGCGCACAUGAUGCUUGAUAGGAACAACAAUGCAGGAUAUACAAAUUGGACCAUAUAGAUGGGACAGAGAUUAUCAAUCAUGUUACGUAUAUGCUUGACCUUUCAACAGGGAAGCAAUGACAAAAGGUGCCAUUUAAGAUGAUAUUAAUUGCUGACCUUAUGAUUUGAAACAGCACAUUGAUUUAAAAGCAAUAGUUGCUAACCUUACUGAAUGCAACAAGAAAAACAAUUUACGUAUCUGCUAAUAUAAUAUAGAUGACAUCAAAAAGCAACUGCGAGAAAAAAAAAAUGCAAUGCUAAUUUAUGCCAAAAAAUAUGCAGGCUACCUCAUCAUUUAGAAUCUGGAUACAGUGGCAUCUUACUGAAAUCAAGGAUUUAGAUCUCAUGGUAUAAUAUUGUGCCGUUCACUGGUCGGUACAAUAUGUACUACUGUACAUAGCGAACCAACAAUGUCUACUGGCUGGUAGCAAAACUAAAGAAAAGGGUUGUACAAACUAAAAACACAUUUGAGCUUGGUACCGAGCAGGAUCGAAUUAGCACAAGGUUGGUAUAUGCUGGUUUGCCCAUGAGUCAAUCCCAAGAGGUGCCAGGUACUGGUUCUUGGCCAGUACGGUAUGGUACAGACCAGUAUGUCCCACUGUUGGAAUCCUUGAAUAGGAAAUAUAUUGGCAAAAGAAAUUGCAUCAAAGCUAUUUAAGCCACAUGUGCAUAUAAAGAUGUGAUAAGCUAACUCAGAAUGCUUGUCAAAUAUGAAACAUGCGGAAUGGAAGUAAAGCAAAAGGCAACUUGAGGAGAAAAUAGAAAACGCCAACACCACCAUCAUUUUUCUGCAACACUUUCCAUAACUCAUCAAAUUCCUCGCCUUUGUCAGCCUCUCUUAUUACCCUUUUUGAGUUAAUUCAAGAUCGAAAUCUUUCAACUCAAAUGUCUUUAAUUGAAUUUUACUUGAUCGAGUAAAUUUGAUAAACAAGAGUCACAUAAAUUACAAUACCUGAAGCAUUGCUCCGGAUGUGCAUCCAACUGUUUCUUGAACUUCAAAUAAGUCCUAUCAGCACCCAAAGCUCUAUCAUAUUCAUAUGUUUCUCCUUCCCACUUUUCCUCAUCUUCAGUAUCGGUAGCAGUGCUCUGCUUUUCUUUAAUAGAAAGUGAGGAGUAGCUAGCACAGAUAGCAUCUUUGUCACCAGUGGAUUGCUCCUUCUGGGAGUAGAUAUAAAAGCAAGGCACAACUGCAAUCAUAAAAGCAACAGUAAAUGCAACUGCCACAACUUUGUGCAGUUUGAAAAUCUAAAUGCAUCAUAAUUUUGCAAACAACUUCUUCACCCACGCAGGGCAAACAAAAACCUGAAGUUCAGCUUUAAGACUUGUCUUUGUGGUGCAAGAAAGGUCCGGGAAAAAAGGUCUAGUUUUUUUUUUGUGCCACAAAAAAGUCUAAAUUUUCACAGUUAUUGUAAAUGAAAAGAACUAGAUGUACCAGGCAUACUGAGAUCAUUUACUCUAGGCUUAGUUCCCAUGGCUUUCACAGUAGAACCGGAAUGUUUAGAAGUGCUUUGUUUCUUGGAUUGAGAAGCCAGGGAAGAAGCUUCUGAAAGAGCCCGUGCAAACUCCUGCAGAUCCAUAUCACUGUCACUCUCAUCUUCCUCUCGUCCAGAACCAGUAACUGACGAGUCCUCCUCCAAAUAGUUGUUGGUUCUCAAAAUGGGAGCAGGAUCUUCCUCCAACGGCUUUGCUACCUGCCCAUUACCAUCCAGCUGCAUCUCACUAUGACACUUCUGAACUCGAAGAGCGCGCCAGCUGCAAAAGAUUGUUCCACCCAAAACUUUAAAAGUAUGACAGCCACAAUUCAUGGCAACCAAAAACGGAUCGAGCUGAACCUUUAGGAACAAACCUACGAGGAUCACUCCCACAUUUCGGCAUUGGGCAACCAAGAACAUAGAUCACACGCUCUUCAAGAUUCAAUUUUGGCGACGAAAUUGGAGCAUAAACCUGAAAUGAGACGCGGAAAAAGCAAAAAAAAAACACUAUAAAUCACACCAGACUGAAACUUUUCCCGAAAAAAGGAUAGCUUUUACAUGGCUUGGUUUAAAAUACACAAGAACUGGCCUGUGCCACCAGACAAAGACUCCUCCCGCACAAACUACACCGAAGAAGAUCGUCCUUAAUACCCAAAUCUGGAGUAGGCCAAUCCUGAGGGGAAAAAUAAAACAGAUGAUAUAUCUCAGAUCUUGGCAGCGUAAUUGGCACCCGAUUGUAAAAUUUCGACGCGUGCAAGGGAAUCUUCCUCUAAAUUCAUCAAAAUUUGGCUCUACUUACCGGCAAUCCACCAAUCUUUGUUGUGUAAUGAUCGGCUUUUUCACGACAGUCCUCUGCCCAAGGCCCUGGCAUGCCCAGUAUGAUUUCCCCCAUCUUUUGGCCUUCUAAAACUCAGAAAUCUUUACUUGAAAAGAUUAAAGAUACCAGCUUUUUAAGUCCUAAGCCUCCAAAUUAGAGAGAGAGAGGAGGGCGGCGAGGGGUUUAAGGGGAGGCGAGUAGUUUGGUAGGGUUCAACCCGGUAUCACGACCCUCCGGUCCAGUGUACCAGAUUGCGACACGUCAGCGAAUUGUGGAUCCGACGAAGAUGAGGCGCACACCACAGGGAGAUGGGGGUAGCGAGGGUAAGAUUCCGGUCACCAGCCCAAUUCCAUAAAGCCAAAUUUAGAUUUUUUUAAAAAAAUAUUUUAAAAAAUAAGACUUGCUUCCGCAUAUUAUGGGACUAAAAAAGGAAGAGUUUUAAAAUACUGGACACAUAGAGGAUAAGAUUAAUCUUGAUUUUUUUGAAAUUUAAAUAUCUUUAUAAGUUAAAAACUCCAACAAUCUAUACAUAUAUUAUCUACUUAAUACAUACAUAGUAGUAUAGCACUUAGUGAUAUAUACAUGCCUUUUUAGGGUGCAUCCGAAGAAGCAACUUUUACAUAGCAUUUAUUUGAAAUUAUUGUUUCAUACAGAGUCAUGAGUUUUAAUGACUACAAUUAAUGAAAUUGAAUUCUAACCAACUUUUGUUUAUUUCUCAUAUUGCUCCAUCCAACUUCAUAUGCCUACUCCUAUUUACCUCCAGCCUGCAUCCAUCUCCAAGGUGUUGAAAAAAAAAAUGUUUCUUUGUAACUCUCUACAAACCUAGCGAAUUGGAUCAUUUAAGACCUUGAAUCACUUUCUUUCUCUGCAAAUGCAGAAACAUGAAUACUGUUGAGACCAAAGGAUUUGGGAAGGUAAAGUGAGAAGGGAAGAAACAUUCCCAAUUACCCACUUACUUGACCUAACCUAAUCUAUUCAACCAAACUUGAUUCAACUUGAUUUGGGAUUUGAGCCCGAGGUGGUCUUAAGUUGAGGACUUUCUGUCAGAGGUUUAAUCAAGUAAGGUUCUAAGUUAAGAGAUUUUUAACUAGCAUAAGGCUUGUUUGUACUGGCCUCUAACCUGGCGAUUUUUGAGCUGUUCCUUCACUUUUAUUAUAUAAUAUUAAUCAGGAAUAGAACUCGCUCAAACCUACAAAUAUCAUAAAAAUACAGCAAUACUUCCAAUUUAUAUACAUAAAUAUAUAAAUAUAUGCCUAUUUUAUAGAUCAACAUGGCCUAUGCAACUUGUCAAGUAUGGAAAGGUUUUGGAAAUAUAUCUAAUAUUUUCAAUAUGCUACAUCAAGUAUUCAUGUUCGACUAGAUUAUCCAAUUGAUGAUAUGUGAUCAUAGUGGACGUCUCUUCUAACAAUUACUAAAAUUUAAUUAUUAUGCCGAGUGCACCCACAAGAGGCAAAUUGAUUUCUUCCCUUAGUGUAACUAUUAUUCUAUGUUCAAUCCUUAACUAUUUUUCAUUGUCUUGCUUAAGAUUAGGAAUGGCAAUGAGUCAAGCAUGGGUCGGAUAUGCUAUUAUCUAUACCCGUCCAGUAUUUGCUUUGAGGCAGGGUAGGACAAGUAGAGCCUCAGGACGAGGAAGGACGGAUAGAGUUAGACAGAGCAUGUUCGACAUAUCCAAUCGAGUAAAGCUAUAAAAAUCAAUUUUUUUAUAUAAAAUUCUUCUCUUUUUUUUUGUCUUGGAGAGGAAAUUUAUACCAUUACCCCAAUCUGUCCCCUAGAUCCAUUGUGGUUCGGUAAAAUCCGCCUCAUUAGGGUAGGGUAGGAUCGGAUACCUGAUGGAAUAGAGUAAAUUGCCACCUUUCUUUAUGAUUGAUUUCAUGGAAACUUCUAUUCAGGCAAUGGGCUAAAAGUAUAAUGGAAUAAAAACCAGCAGCUAGGGACAAGAAAAAGUUAGUAGUUAACAUGUCUUAAACAUAAAUUGGCAGUAAAACCAAGGUGCAGAUCUCAAUUUUCUUCUCUGAAUUUUGAAAUUGGAAAUGUCUUAAAACAACAGAUUACGGCAAAAGAGAAAAGGGGAAAUGCCUUUAAAACACCCACGAUUAAAUGACCACAGCCACACUCUUUCUCAAAUUAUCUAGCGAGCAGGUAAAUUUUUUGGCCUCUUUUGUGGGUACCUAAUCUAAAUUCUAAUACCUUGCCUCUUUGAAAUUAUUCUCCCUUGCUUAAUAGUAAAUACAGUGAGAGAUUCAAUUAAUUACGCGGACUUAAGAUACAGUGAUGUUUCCUUCCAAUACUAAAUCCUUGUACUCUCCACCUCUUCCUUCUUAUCUUCGCGUUCCCUUCCAAUCUCCCUCUACAAACGUUUCUCCUUCGUUGCUGAACCCCGGUCAUUCUUAUUCUCCCAAAGAAAAAAAAAAAACUCCGAGGAAAAAUUAUAGGAAAUCAUGGAAGAUCACAAAGAGGUGAGCUUCUAUCCUAAAUCACUGGCUCAUUUUUUUUAUUUCUUAUGGCUUUCGGAUCAAAGUUCCUCCUGUUUUUCCUACCGCAUUUCCUUUAUUUUUUUCAGUUUAUAUAAUAUGUUAGCAAUAUCCCAUUAAAUAAAUAAAAAAAUAUUCGCUAAGGAGUGUUGAGGAGUAUUCUUGAGAAGAUUUGUUAUUUUUUCGUUUUUCUUUUAUAGCAAUUUUUCUUUUCUUGACAGAAUUGUAGAAGUGCAUUUUUCAAAUUUAAUUUUUAAAGCUCCAUAUUUUUGUUUAUUUACUGAUUAUUUUAAAAAAAGAAGACACCAUUAGUUUUUGAAUCAAAUAAUGGAGCAUGCUAUAAAUGUUAUACACGUCUAUCAAACAAGAUGAUGUUAUAUACUAUCCACGGUGCAUCAUUGUUGAUAGCCAUCCAUCUCUAGAUGUGACCAUGUUGUAAGUCUAAGUAAUACUAUGAUAAACAGGACCGAUCUUGGUAUCAAGGAAAAGUAGAGGUGUGUCUAAUGGGAUAUUAACCAAUCUACAAUUAUUUUUUUAUAAUUUUUAUCCAAUCAACAAAAGUUUUUUUUAUAAAUUAUGUUAAAAUAAUUUUAGGGAUUACGUAACAACUUGCAUCACUCAUAAUAUUUUUUAUAAUUUUGAUUCUGUGUCAACCUAUAUUAGUUUUCUCCAUUAGCAUAAUUUUGUUAAAGUGAUUUUAGGAAUCACAUAACAACCUGUAUGACGUAUAAUAUUUUUCAUUAUUAAUGAGAUCCUAUAUCAGCGUAUAUUAUUUUCUAUGUAUGAAAUAUAUAUAAUUUCUAAGAAGUACCAAAUAUGAAUAAAGAAAUAAAAAAAUAAAAUUAUUUUUCUUUUUUCUUUUAUUUUUCUUAUGUUCCCCAAAUGUUUUUACAAAUUAUAUGCUAUUUACUUACCAUUAAUGUAUUUUUUUCAGUUUCAAUUUUUAUAUAAACUCAAGAUCUUUAUAUAACCAUCUACAAUCUGAACCGUUGGAUGGAUGGCCUCUAAUUUCUGAAAUCUAAAACAGACAGUCGUGAUUUAAAUUGGCAGGGCAAUGGACGGAUAUCAGUGCCCGCGUUUGGGGAGUGGGAGCACAGGAAUAGUUUGCAGUAUCACUCGAGGGAAUUCUUCCUGGUACGAGAAACCAGGCAACAAAAGAAGGCCACCUUCGCCCCGGCAAACGUGGACGACGACUCUGACCUUCGUGGGAAUCAGCAACAACGUCAUCUCAGCCAUCCACGUGAUCAUCGUCGUCACCGCAAUCGUCGUUUUCAAAGGAUCCGUCCCCGUAACAGAUUCUCGUACACCGUAAGUCCACCGCGUAUAUCACUUUGGGUUUGAUAAUUUAACUUGGUUUUAGGUUGAAAGCUGUUCUAUUUUGAGCCAGCUUGACUUUAGUAGGGUUCGAGUUGUAUCUUUUGUAUGAAAGGAUGGCCGAUUUUCUUUCACAACUUUGAUUGUUGGACCACAUCCAAUGUAGAUCUCAAAGUAUUUUAAACCUCUUUAUUGAUCAAUCUGCUAAUAUUUCAAAAUGGUUAUUGUGCAAUCCAAUAGUGCAUUCAUGCAAAGAAAGCCUAGUUUAGUAAGUUUCCUAAUUUAAAGGGCUGCAUGGUAAUAGAUUUUUAUGACAAAUUUUUUGGAACUCAUUUAGUUAGGAAAUAAGACAAGCUCCAACAUAUUUUAAAGCUAAAGAAUAAAAGUAGGGUUUAGAUCGGCAACAAGCACAUCUUAGAUAACAAAUGGGCCAAACUUAAAAAAAUGUUUUUGAGCUGACUAUAACCAGGAUAAAAUUUAACCUAUAGGCUUCCAUGCUUUGGCAUGAUACAUUUUACGAAUGGGGUUCUCUACACUGCUACUUUUGCACUAUAAUAUUAUGGAUUGCCGCCACAUCAUCUAUCUUGAAGAUGGGCAGCUUUUCUUUAUCUCUGCUCAUGUUGUGCAUCACUGGAAAGUGCGUAAACAAGUUCACGGGAUAAAUGAGAGCCAUCCGUCUCUGAGAUGGAUGACAUGACGGCUAUCCAUAAUGAUAUAGGACCAUGUGGUGCAAAAGUUGUACCGCAGAAAACCCAAACUCUGUAUUUUCAUCAGCUGAAAUCUCUUCUCUUCAGAAAGUUUCGGCUGAAAUUUGGAGACAGGUUAAAUGUUGUAGACCUAUAACUUUGGCAAUUUGAGUUGGAUCGUAAGUCAACACAAAUUCAACCAAAUGGUGAAACUCAGCUAUCCAAAUUCUAAUUGGUCCAGGUUGAUAGUUAAACUCAAUCACUUGAACCCGAGCCCAACCCACCUGUAUAUUUUUCAAUCCAAAUUAGGUAUAGGUUUGGGCCAAGUUAGAUCAUGUUAGGCUAGGUUUGAUCGAUCGUGGUUUCAUUUGAAUUAGGAGCCCAUCCUACACAUGGCAGGUUCACGCUAUUAUAGGCAGUAAGAAAACGAUGGGGAUUAAUCUAUGGCCUAAUCUCUAUGAAUUGUUUUGGAGACAAUGACGAAGAUCAUGAGCUACUUCAUAAAGCUGAAGAACACAAGCUGCUUCUCUGGCAAAGCAUGAGAUGACAUGCUUAUAUUCUCCCUCAUUAAGGAGCAAGAGAAUCUUGCUGCUACUACUGCUGCUGCUACCGAGAAAAACAAAAACGAAAAUCUUUAAACAUUUGCUUUUAUUGAUCAUUUUUGUGUUUGUUGGUUCAUUAGCUUCACAUCCUAGUAAUUAUUGAUGCACAACUUGUAAAUUCACUUAUGUUAUAUAUUAUUGGCAUUUGGCAUGUGCAAUGCACAUACUUUAUUCAAGAGAAGAGUGAAAAUGAAAUAGGUAUGAAGGACCCUGACAACAUUAGACACCAUGCGAGGAUACGUAGUUCUUAUCCAUUGAGAAAGUAUCAAAGAUUUCAUGAGAAUAGAUACUGUGCGAAGGCUUUAAUAAAAGAAUCCGGAAAAUAAAACAUUAGGGCUUGAGUUUGGUCAGGAGUGACCGAAUUCUAAAACUUUUGCAUCACAUAUGAUAGAAAUAUGUUCACCAUAACCUGCCCCUAUUUCUCCUAGGUCCAAUUUUGUGUUUGCAACUGUUGACCUGUUUCUAGGUAAAAAUUUGUGAUGGCAAAUCUAAUAUUCUUUUGUCGACAACUAAUGAAAGCCCAAGGGAUUAAGGACGCACAACCAAUUUUGUGUCUUCUUGCCUACCCUCUUGCCUGAAACUCUUCCUUACAUAUUUCUCUAGAUUAAUAGUACAUAACUUUUUUGGCUACCUAUAAUCUCUAUAUUAUUCCACAAAAGCAACUGAAUAAGAUCAAUGAGGCAACCACAAUUCAGAUCAUCUUUGAUCCGAAAUUAUGGGAGAGAUGUAGAGCGAAAUGGUGUUUUCCCCUGUUUGGUAAGUUCAUAGGUAGGAAUGCUAACUAACAGUCCAUCGAGCUCCUGUGAAAUCAUGGUACGUGUUGGGUGCUAAGUAAGGGCCCGUUUGGCUGUAGGUAAUCUAGUAUGGAAAAAUAAAUUUUAUGUUAAAUUAUUAUGUUUGGUACGAAAAGUGAAUGAUAAAGAAGGUAAAAUAAAUGGUGGGUUCUAUAUUUUUUUAAAAAUAAAAUAAAAUAAAUAUCACUAGGGGCGAUAUUUAUUUUUCUCUAUUGGAUUACUAAGUGAGCAUCACCUUGUCAUGAAAAUACCCUCACUUAUAUUAUAUUAAUAUCAUAUUAAUUAUAUAAUUAAUAUUAAUUUUUUAUGAAUAAUAUUUAUAAAUAAUAAAAUAUUUAAUAUAAUAAUAUAUUUAUUAAUAAAUAUUGACUAUUAAUAAAUAUUGACUAUUAGUAAAUAAUAACUAAUUAUUUAUUAAUUAUCAAUAAAUUUAAUAUAAGAUUUAUUAAUAACUAAUAUAAUUAUUUUAUACAAAACAUGCUAAAAUAUAUUUAUAAUAUAUAUAAAUAUAAUUUUCAUAUAUGUAUAAUUAAUUUAAAAUAUAUAUUGGCUCAUGUAAAUAUAUUUUCAUAUUUAAAAUAUUUUAGUAUAUUUUUAUGUAAGUGGGUCAUAAAUGACCAAUAAAUAGAGUAAGAAAUAAAUGUUAUUACUUAAAUUAUUUACUUAAACAUAUUGUUGGAAAUUUAACAAUAUUUCUACAAACCAUUAUCUCUAACUAAAUAUAGUAAUUUUUUCUAAUGUUAUUUUUAAAAAUAAUUUUUAUCAACCAAAUAUAAUUAAAUUUAUUUUUCUUUAUAAUUUUUUAUAUAAAUAAUUUUUAUAGAUUAUCUGUAAUCUAGCGAAUCCUAGCCAAGAGAAUCCUAGCAGUCUUUAUACCUAUUGGCCAGCUACCACGGACCAAUCAUUGCUCGUGAGAGCGUUUGGAGGAACCGUGGGGAGUGGAAAAUAAAGGAAAUUUGGAAGGUCAACGGAACAAGGAAGAGGAGCACCAGACCAAACCCGGAGAUUAGCUAAAAUUUAGCGCGCCAACGUUGGCCACACCUACUCCAUACGUCACGGAUGUGAUGUAACGCUUUUUAUUAUGAUUUUUUUUGGCAAGUACUUUCUAAAAAUCAAAUUUUGUAUGAAUAUUUUUCAAAAUUAAUAUUUACCUCAAACACUUAUUUUACUAUUUUUUUUUUUGCAUACGUAACUAUGCCACCUAAUACUAUUAAAAAAUUAACGGUUUCUAAUUAAAAUAACUAAAAUAUUCCUAAUAGGUAGACACGAUCGUCUGCAGGACCGCGAUCACGAAUGCCUGCAGGCGAACGUCCGUGGGAUCGCGAUCCCGAUAGUAAGAAAAAAAAGAUAGAAAUAAUAAUCUAAUUUCAAAUUUUUAUUUUAUUUUUAAUUAAUAUAAAUAUGAUUUUUUUUAGUACCGUUGGAAUAACUGUCUUAUUAGGAGCAUUUGUACAAUAAUAGUGUGUUAUAAAAAUAUACAUAUAAAUAUCAAUUUUGAAAAUAUAUUUAUAUAAAAUUUAAUAUUUAAAAAAAAUAUUCAUGCAAAAGAAAGAAAAAAAUUAUUAUUUGCCUCAGCUUAUAUUCUGCCGGGCCUGGUACGGUUCUUAGAUUCAGCCCACUUCGCGUUUGCGUGUAAAGUUGGAGAAUACAUUUGCACAGACUCUUUGUAAGAAGGUUAGCGGUUUUAAAAUUAAUCAUAAACUAUCUAAAUUUAAAAUUAACAUGAUUGAAUAAGAUCUACGCUUUAAAAAAUAUCUAAAAACUAGAAUUCAUAUAUUUUGAUGACUUUUAAUCUAUGCAUCAAAAUAGUAAAAAAAAUAAAUGGUAUUAAUUACACUGUAUCGUAAACUAGAUGGUGAUAUAUAUAAGUUGAAAAAUGUACUUUAUGAAUCUUGUUUUACAUAUUCUAAAACAUAGAUCAAUUCAAAUUUACUUUAUUCUAAUGAUUAAAUCAUAGCAAAAUAUAGUAGUUUGCCUACUUAGUAAUUAUGUUAGAGACCAUCAAAAUGCAUAAACUAUAGUUUUAAAUAUUUUUAUAAUAUUGAUCAUGUUCAAUAAUUUCGGAUCUCGAAUUUCGAUAGUCUAUCAUUAAUUUUAAAUUAUUAACUUCCUUUUUAAUAAUUAAUGUAAAAUGUGCAAUUCAACUCUCUCUCUCUCUCUCUUCUUUUUAUAUAUGUACACACACACAUAUUCCCAAACAUGAUUUGUUUUAUACGAAGAUAUUUACAUUUAAAUUGGUGCCUGAGGUUAUUUAGAGUAUUCUGAAGCGUAUCAAAGUAAGUUUCCACAAUAAAAGAAACUAGGCUCAAAAAUAUUGGAAGUGAUUUCCAUGGUGAGUCUAAGUUAUUUUUACCUUUUAGUUGUCUAAAAAGGACCAUUAAUAUCCAAAAGUAAGUUUUUCAUUGAGGGAAGAUCUUGGCUCAAAAAUACAGAAGGCGACAUUGAUGAUGGAGGGCUAUAAUCAAUUCAGCAAAAAUGAGUUCCCACCCAUCCCUUUAUGUGAAAACCGAAAGCCUAACUAAAUUCUCCAAACCCACCUAAUGAAUCCAAGCUAACAUAUACACUCCCUCCAAAAAUAAAUAAAAAGCAUCCAAUCCAAACCAUGACUAUGAUAAUUAUUUUUCACAAAUUUCUUCGCUGUCUAUUUUUUGAGAAAAGAGUUGGGUGUUCACUACCAAGAAGAGCCAAGAUUUUCUUGGCAUCUUGAAUUUGAUAGCUUAUGUGAAAUGCAUGUUAUGAAAAAAUAAAGCAUGUAGGAUACAAAAACAAAGAGAGCAUGUGAAUAGAACAAGAAAGGUUUUAUUGAUAUACAAUUUUUUUAUGCCCACAUGUAAGUUAGAUAUAAUUACGUAUUAACUUCUUAAUUAAUUUUUAUGUUGGCGCAUCCACCCUGGUCAAAUAAGCUUAUACUAGAUGGUGGGGCUUAUGUUGAUUAAUCAUGGGGAAAGAAAUAUAGUUUCCUUAGAUGUUGGGAUGGGUUUUUUUUUUAAUCAAAAUAGUGAAAUUGGAUUUUGAAUUGAUUUCAUCAUAUUAUCGGAUAAAGAUAGUUUGGCUUAUCACAUCAUUGGAUGUCACUAGGUUCAUUGUACACCUGCAACGCCCAAUUUCACCUUUUUUUUAUUAUUAUUUUAUUGCUGUUCGCGCCCGACGGAUGUGAAUAUGGCCAAAAAAAAUUAGAAAAUAAAAAACUACAUAAGAGCACAGACACCGACUUAUGGCUCACCCAGAUAAAGAAUAGUGAGCUGCAUAAGAGGCGACACAGUCUACAACACCAUUUAUCUCUAUGUAUAUAUGCGUGGCUUAAUAGAAGACACACUCCUCUAGCAAUAUACGAGCAUCAUGGAGCAGCGGCCUCUCCUCCCCAUCAUAUUUCUGAUCCCAACCUCACCAUUUUUUUUAACAAAUACACGUAUUUGGUAAGCGUGCCAACUCACGUGCCAAUGAGUCCAUUCGUUCUUGGUGACGUGUGCGGCACUUGGUCCCGAGACUACGAAUUUAUAUCGAUGCGCGUAAACUUCGACGAGGUCAUCAUUUUAUUUCCCUUAAAACGCUAUCAAAUUUGCUUGAAUACUCCUUCAAAUUUAUAUUUAUUUCUAUAUCCUCAUAAACUAUUGUUUUUUAACAAAUGCCCCUAAUAUAAGUAUAACGAUUCUUCUAACACUGUUAAUAACAACUAUAUUUAUUUUAAUUAAAAUAAAAUAAAAUUUUGAAAUUAUUUUUUUGUUUUCUAUAACGAUUGUCUUAUAAAUGUUUCUUUUUGCACAUCUACUCAAUAAAAAUAUUUUAGUUAUUUUAAUUUGAAACCAUUAAUUUUUUAAUGAUGCUAGAUGGCGGGGUACAUAUGGAAAAACAAGAAUAAAAAAAUAGAAUAGCAAAAUAAGUAUUUUAUGAGGAUGUAUAUGUAAAUAUUAAUUUAGAAAGAAUAUUUAUAUAAAAUUCGAUAUUUAGGAGGGGAAAAAAUUUCUUUUCUUCCCAUCUUUACAACUUAGGCCCCACUUUCCGAUUCUUACGUCUCAGUGAGAACAGGGUGUUCGUUGGGUGCAUUAGAAUACGUGCACCCUACGACAACUCUUAUUUCUUAGCAGUCCUGCCAUUUCCCACCAAACCCGAUGUGCUCCUUUGCUCCCCUCUCCACCGAACCGCCCAGAUUUUCUGUGACGAAAAUGCCCUCAAUCUUGGCUACAAACCUCAUCACCAUCUGCCGGCGGCCCAGUGGAUCAAAAUUUUUUUUUUCACAUGCACCCUUAAAAUCUAUCAAAUUAAUAUAUAAAACAUUGCAUCUCAUUUCAUUCAUUUCGUAAAAUUAUUUUUAUACGAGCAUACCAAAUAUCCAGUUAUCUCACAAUAUUUUCAAUAUUUCUGUUUUCUUCUAAUUAAUACUUGCUAUUUUUUUUAUUGUUGAGCAAUGAAUAUUUUCUUUCACUUCAUUAUCUUAAAAAAUAGAAUAUGAUUAUGUGAAAAAUAUAUAAUUAUCAAGUUAUCUUAUACCAAUGAUGAAACUAUUAAUUUUUUUUUCAUAUGUCGUAAAAUAGAUAUGAUAUAUCACUUACAAACAUAUAUACUAAUAAAGUAUAGUAAACCAUGUGUCGACAGCCCAACGGAUUAAAAUUCUUUUUGCGCAUGCACCCUUAAAAUCUAUUAAAUUAAUAUAUAAAACAUUGCAACUCAUUUCAUUCAUUUCAUUAAAUCAUUUUUAUACGAGCAUACCAAAUAUCCAGUUAGGAGAUGAUUGGUGAAACAAACGUUCUCUUCAGCCUCUCAUUAUCCCUUUCCAGCUAUCUCACAAUAUUUUCAAUAUUUCUAUUUUCUUCUAAUUAAUACUUGCUAUUUUUUAUUAUUGAGCAAUGAAUAUUUUCUUUCACUUCAUUAUCUUAAAAAAUGGAUUAUGAUUAUCUAAAAAAAUAUAAUUGCCAAGCUCUCUUAUACAAAUGAUCAAAGUAUUAAUUUUUUUUCAUAUGCCAUAAAACAGAUAUGAUAUAUUACUUACAAACACGUUUACUAAUAGAGUAAUGUAAACCAUGUUAUAAUUAAAAAAAAAUUAUAGUGGAAUACUAAUUGAAAGUUCUUUGCAAUAUAAAAUAGAUUUUAUAGCAACCUCGAUAAUCAAAGAAGUAUUUUACAAAUAAAAACUAUAAAAAAAUAGAAUUUUUUGCAUGAAUAUUCAUCUAAAAAUUCAAAUUUGCGUGAAUACCCUCUUAAAUUUAUAUUUAUUUUUGUACCCUCAUAAAACACUAUUUUCACACAAAUGCCCCUAAUAUCGAUUUUUCUAAAUAAAAACCAUAUUUAUGUUAAUUAAAAAGAAAAUAUAAUUUUGAAAUUACUUUUUUGUCUCCAUUGUGAUCGCUUUAUAAAUAUAUUUUUUUUGCACAUAUAUCCAUUAAGGAUAUUUUAGUUAUUUUAAUUUGAAACUGUUAAUUUUUUAACGAUGUUAGAUAGCGUGGGUACAUAUGCAAAAAUUAGAAAUAAAAAAAGAAUAAAAUAGUAAAAUAAGUGUUUUACAAGGGUAUACAUGCAGAUAUUACUUUUGGAAGGGUAUUCAUGCAAAAUUCGAUAUUUAAGAGGGUAUUCUUGUAAACAAAAUCCAAAAAAAAAUGUUCAUGAAUAUUUUACACACGAGGUGUCUGUUAUUCAAAAAUCCCAUCAUAUCUUAAGGGAAAAAAAAAUCCAAGCAAAGAAAGGUAAUUUGGUAAAUAUAUCGAAAUGCAAGUACUCGAACGUGUCGUGAUCCCGACGAGCGGACUAUAAAUAGCUACCGACUCUCCUCCGCCAAGGCCUCCCUCCCCUCGCUCGCUGCGCUGCGCCUCCCUCCGCCGCUUAUCGUGCGCCACCGUCGCUGGCGAGCUUCCCAAACCCUAGCGUUCUGAGAGAUUCGCCGUUAAAGGCCUCGUCUGGAUCCCUCAGAUAACCCACACGCUUCCAUUUUCAAUUCCCCGGGUCUCCCCCAAUCUCGAAGCCAUGCCGGAUCUCCGGCUCUCCGAUCGGCGGCGGAGCCUUUCGUGGUGAUUUCUGAAGAAAAGGAGAGAGCGCUUUCUCUUAAGUUUUGGUUUCUUUUGGAUUGAUUGAAUGAUGGAGGCGAUCGCGGCUUUAAGCUUGCAGUCGUCUCCUUGGAUCGGUUCUGAGAGGACUGGGAGGAAAACAGGCGGUUUCUUUAGGAUUCCGAGUGGAUUCUCCGAUGAGAGGAGGGUUAAGACGCUUAAAUUGGGAGAUUCGCGGUGGAGUCGAACUGCGGUUGGAUCCAGGCACCUGGAGUUGAAGAUUUCUUCUUCUUAUAAGAAAUCCGGAGGUAAUUUCUUGAAAAAGUAGCUUCCUUUUUUUACUAUUGUUUUGAAUAAUAUGCAUCGGGAUAUUUGAUUCUUGCGUGAAAUUCCAUGUUUUGGUAAGGUUUGGAGUGUGUGAAUAAAAUAAAGGAAGCUUUUUUGAUGCUUGGUCUGGGAUAUUUGGAUUUAGCUAUGCUCUGACUUCGUCCAAACUCCUAGCUUUGAAUGUUUCUUGCUGUUAUAUAUAAGCUGGAGGCUUUUUAAUUAGAGGUAAAUAUUGUGAGAACAUUGUGCGUAUCAUUUCUAUUCUAAAUAGCAAUUGAACAGAUAGGAUUUUUUUAAGUUUAUCGAGAAACGGAUUCGAAGAAUUUAGAAGAAAUGUUCAACCCUGUGGGUCUCUCUAUGUCCCGCUUUCUUGCAAGAAAGAUGGUUCACCUUAUUUCGUUUAUGUUAGCUGUUUGUAAAUAGUUACAUAAGAUUCUCUUGGGCAAAGCACCAUAAUUUUGCAUAUGUUAGCUGUGCACAAAUAGUUCUGUUAGAUUAUCUUGAACAGUUGUGUUGGUUUUUUGUCAUGCUUUUGGUAUAUGUGACCAUGGGGGCAGUGACCAGUUGUGAUGGUUAUUUGGCACGCCUGAUGAGUGGAUAUGGAUCAUAGUGUAAACAUGCUUCUAAAUCUCCCUGUUAUAUGAAUAAUUAGUUGACCAUUUGCAAGUUCCAACCUUACUGCUACAUCCUUGAGCUGCGUCCUAGAAUGAAAAAGGGGAUCUCCUAGUGAUCUAUUUAUCAUCCAUGUUUCUUCAAAAAAAAAAAAAUGAAAUUGCUGUGAUCAGCUAGUCUAAGUAUUAAGCUUGCGGGCAGUGAUGAGACUGCUCUACUCAUUAAAUUUUCAUUACAUUAUUUCUAAAGAAGCCAAUUCUUUUCAACAUGUCAACCCACAGAUUUCCAUUAUCUGUUUAUCCUACUUGAGAUUAUUAUCCUGUUAUCUUUUACAUAUGAACUGAGUUGCACAUAUAGUUCAUUUCAACUAAUAGACAUAUCAGAUUUACUCCAGCUUCCUACCAGAGUAUGGAACUUUCUGCAUCCCCGUGUCUUACACAUGUUGGUCUUUUCCUUUAACAGGCCGCUCCGAUAAACCAAUGCUUGAUACGAUCUUAUUGCUAUUCUUAUUCUUAGUCACUUCAAUUGACAUAAGAUCACUAGUAUGAUUGAUGUAUUUUGGUGAAUUAAAUUUUUCUGCGAGUUAGCUGCUUCUUCUUCUGGAUUAGAUCAUAUUAUUGCACUUGAAUUUCCUUUAGCUGAAAUAUUUCUCAUGGUACAUGGUGAUGGUUUUGUUGAUAAUAUCUAUUAGAAUAUCCUUUUCUAAGCUAAACUAAUUUCUCUUUGUAUUUUAAUGGCAUGUGGGGUCAGAUAACUUUAAUAACUCAGUUGAUGAAGCCCUCAUACUAAAGGUACGAAAUCAUUCUCUAGAUGAAUGGCAGUAAACUUUUCAUAGCUGGGGGAAAGAUAUGUUGUUGCAUUGUUUCUGUCACACCAUCAUCUGAUUCGAUGCCACUAUAAUUGCAGAGAAAGUCGGAAGAUGUUCUUCCGUACUUGAAUGGACGGUGCAUAUAUCUAGUUGGUCAGUUUCUUUUUCCCAUCGAUUGAGCAAGAAAUGGUUGUCAUUGUAACACUCAUGAUUGUUGUAUGCGUUAUUAUAAAGGUUGGCUAUUUGGUUUUAUGCAGGAAUGAUGGGAUCUGGGAAGACUACAGUGGGAAAGAUAUUAUCAGAAGUGUUAGGUUAUUCUUUUUUUGACAGGUUAGUAUUGUAAUCGUGAUAGCAUAAAAGAAUAGUUUUGCCUUGGAGCACUUCGCUCAGAUAAAUCUUUUAGAGCUUAGCUUUAUGUUGUUUGUUUUUUUAUGGGAUAUAAUUAUCCUUUUUGUUGGUGUUGCAGUGACAAAUUGGUUGAGCAGGCUGUUGGCAUAGCUUCCAUUGCUCAGAUAUUUAAGGAGCAUAGUGAGGCUUUUUUCAGAGAUAACGAGGUAGGGCAUUUUGGAAAUUACAAUGACUGAACUGUGGAUUAAGGUUCAAAAUCCCGAUCUUUGUUCUUUUAGCUUGAAUCUCGUACAGGAUAAUUUUGUAAUUGCUAGAUGAUAAAUUAUUCUGCCACCUUCACUAUGGAAUAGCUGACACAAAUGUAUGGGUUAAUGUUUGUUGUCAAUAUGUUCGUUUACCUCUAUAAUGGGAACAAGAAGUUUUGCAAUUUAUUCUUUUCUUUCUCUAUUUGUAUCUCAGAGUAAAGUGCUAAGGGACUUGUCUUCAAUGCACCGUUUAGUUGUUGCAACGGGAGGUGGUGCUGUGAUUCGACCAAUCAACUGGUAGUAGACUUGAUAGAUUAACAUUCUGUCUGUCUUACCUUCUCCGAAGCUAUUUAAACCAAAUUGCUCUGAAAAAAGAAACUAUGUAAAUUGGGUGUUACUUUUUUUGAGUUAUCAGGAAAUAUAUGAAACAAGGGAUAACCAUUUGGUUAGAUGUUCCUUUGGAUGCUCUUGCGAGACGGAUUGCUGCUGUAGGGACUGAUUCUCGCCCUCUUUUGCAUCAAGGAUCUGGUGAUCCCUACAAAAAGGUAGCCAACCUGUCAUUUGAGGGGAGAGGAAAAAGACUAUUUGUUGGACAAUCACAUAUAUAACUUAUUUGUUAUAAUCAUGGUUCCAAGGAGAGACCAUCCAGUCCUUGAGACUAGGACCCAUAUGAUGUUUAUAUAGUUCGCAGGCUUCAUUCAGGCCUUGCAAUUACUUGCUCCCAGUGUCACGGAGACAGUAACUUCUUGGUUGAUUAAUUAUGAACAUCCUGUAUUUGAAGUUCAAAUUCACAGUUAUUGUGGUCGAGACACAUAGCCAACCUGCAAAAAGUUUUACUGGCUAUCACAUAAUGGUUGCUAGUCAACUAUAAAGGAUCAUGGACUAGGUUUAUGUUGCCUGUUGUCAAUGGUUGGAUGUAUACCUGAAUAUACAUUGCUGCAGGCUUUUGUGAAACUCACUACACUCUCCGAACAAAGGGGCAAGGCCUACACCAAUGCCGAUGCAAGAGUUUCCCUUGAAUGUACGUUCAAAAAAUGUGCUGUUUACAUGUUUUCUUCUCUUUUCUUUUCCCCAUUUAGGUCAUGAUUGAGAUAUAUAGUUCAAUUUCAGUUAGGUUUGACAAUGGUGCUCUAUAUGCAUCUUAGAUUUCUUUCUCUCCUUUCGAAAAAUUUUCUUCUUUUAUCUCAAUUACAUGCCCAUCUCAAAGUUGACCAAUAAUUUUCCACUUCCAUGCCUUUUCAUGAUUUGGAUCUUUAUGUACUAUGCUAUAAAUGCAUGCAUUCUAGGGAGCUCUUUGGAUGUGCGCUUAGUCAAAAAAGAAUACCUGUUAACUUGGUUGCUCAUUUUGUCACUUUCUGGAUCUCCUUGAUUUAAUUUACCAAACUAUAUUUCCUUUACUAAUUAUGCAGAUAUAGCGGCUCAACAGGGUCAUGGUGAUGUUUCUGCACUUACACCUACUGCUAUCGCUAUUGAGGUACCCAAUUGUGCUCUGAUGUUUAAACCUUUUUACCACUUGAAUCUUGUUUUUGCAUCCGUUUGACUGGUGGAAUUGACCUAGGAAGCUCUUUAAACCAGAAUAGUGGAUUACUGAUAAAUUUUCUUCUAAUUAAACAUCUCUUUUCUGUUUGGCAGGCACUAAUGAAGAUUGAAUGUUUUCUUAUGGAGAAUGCGGUUGUUAGUAAUAGUUCACACCUUCAGGAAUGAAGGCCUAAGAUUCCCUGGUUCUUGUAGUGUGCCUUCUACCUUUUCACUGAUUGUUCAUUCAAGUGUAGUACCUACAUGGCCCAACCAACUUAAAUGAAUAAACUUGCGUUACAAUGCUCAACAGCUUCAAAAGGGCCUAAUUGGCCCUUUAGUUGGCAUGUUUGUGAUUGUGAUGUGGAAUAACAUAUGCAGGAGGCUUGCAUUCAUCUCAUACUGACCAUAUGUAAGUUCAUUUUUUUUAUAUGAUUGUUAGCAUAAUUUCAUAUUCUGAAACAUUUUCUUGAUGUGUAACUUAAAUUCCUUUUGUUUUGUAGAUCCUGACCUUGGUAUGAUCUUGCUCUUUAGCUGCUGGUAAACUAAACUUAUCAUUCUUUUAAGUCAUGAAUCAAGUGAACUGGGACUUACCCCAAUGGUCGCAUCUCUGUGCUUAAUAAAAGACGAUGGGUUCAAAUUUUGGAAUGGUGCAUCCCCAAAUAUUUAAGCUUGGGAGACGAGUCUCCCUCUCAUUCUCUAAGACAAAAAGAAAAAGCUUAAAUUAAGUUAUAGAUAAGCUUUCAGUAUAUGGUUCUUCACUUAAUGCACCUGUUAUAUGCAGCCAAUGUAAAACAAUUAUUAGUAUCAACCAUCAAAAUAUCCAAGAACAAUCCUUAAUCAAAAAGGGGUGAUCCACCUAGUUCAUUACUCCUAAGAACUAACACGUAGGUCUUGUUUUACUGAUUUUUCUGUUUAAAUCACUAAUAAUCCAGCAGAUAUUUUUCUUUAUAGAGCAAAAAAUGUGCAAAAGAUUCUAUUUUCUGAUACUCUUAUAAUCCCUUCUUAUAAACACUACCUGCAAGCAUUAUUCCAUUCAUAGAAAUUGAUUCAAUUUCUGUGAACCUUUCAUGUAAAAAUUCAAGGCUAGGGCAACAGUAAGGCUUUAAAGGAUGUCAAAUUCUUGUCCAGGGCAACGGCAGCCAAGAAAACAGAUCACCAGUAAGUGCUUGGUUGCAUUAGACAAGUUCCUUCUUAAAAAAAAUUUGCAUCGAACACAACUUUGGAAAGAGCUCUGUUCCUUCUAAUAGAUGGCUGGUUUUCUAAACCUCCCUUUCACUGAAAAUAGAAAAAGAAAAGAAAAAAACAUGAAAGUUCUGACUUCCAUGAUAUGGCUAUGGAGAAGGAAUAAACAGGCGAUUCAUUCAGUAGUUUUUUUGCCAUACAAUCUGUUUUUUCAUAGCAGCAUUCCCUUUUUUCAGGGCAUAGCAGCUUUUCCUCGAUGCCAACUCUAACUUCACCAGCUAGACUGGUUGGCAUCCUCAUCUUUUCCAGAGUUAAUUUACCAAGCAGAAAGAUGCAGAAAUAUAAUUUAAACUAACAACAUCUAUAGCUUCAUAAUGACCGUUGUAACAGUUAUGGGAGCCUCCCAUUGUCUUGUACAACAACGGGCUUCAAGGUCCCAGUCAUCGCAUUAUAAUUGUGGAUAAAAAUAUAACAGUUGUUUAUUAUAUAAUAGGAAUAACACUGUAACAGCCAUUGUUUUCGACAUUUUUGUUCAUUGAAUAAAUCAUACGUUUCAAGUUCAAAUCACAUUGCAAGCUGGAGAGUUUUUUUCAAAAAAGAAAACGAUUGCGAACAAUUAAGCAUAUAACUCUUUUAUUCGAUGCUAUGACAGCUAAUAACAGCCAUUUUGCUGGUUAAAAUUUUAUUCCAACUAAACUUAAUAUUGGGAUAUAAAUUUCUAAGGGAAGGGAACAAGGUGUUGGGCUAACUGGACAAAUAAUGCCUGUCAUUUGUGUUAUAAUGGGGAACAUUAAUAUUUCUGAAUGGUGUAAACUGAAAAAACAAAAUCAUUAUUAUACAUUCUCCUUCAAAAACAUCAUGCAGCCAAUUGACUCGAUAUGCAUGAAGACUGUUUUGCCCAUUAAUGUUGACAUCUAGAAAAAUUUGGAGAAGAAAGAUGGCACUCCACUAGCCAUUUGUCCCUGCAAUUGCACUGAUCCUCAAAAGAUACAAUCUGAUGGACAAACGAAUUACCUAAUACCGCUUCAAUGAAUAUGAGAGCUAUUGAAGUUGCCUCCACCAUCAAUGAGGGCAACAAUACAACCUAGUGACAUCGAAGCAACAAAUAAUGGUUGUUAAUGAAAUGCUUAUCUUUAUGUGAAAAUCCUUCUUAUAGUUCUUGCAGCUGCACGAGCUAACACCCUCCCAGCUAAAUCGACUGGUAGACGAACUACUUGCUGUUGGGUUUCUGGUGGAAGCUGCCAAUGGAAAGAAAAAAUAGCAUCUCAGAAGUCUGACUGUUGUGACAUGUUCAACUCUAAAAGAGGCUGAGACAUUUCACUGGAUUAGCUACCAACAAAACACUGACAGGAAAUCAAAGUCGGGAAAGCUUUGCAACUAUACACACGCGCGCGCGCGCGCGCGCGCGCGCACACACACACAGAGAGAGAGAGAGAGAGAGAGAGAGAGAGAGACUANNNNNNNNNNNNNNNNNNNNAGAGAGAGAGAGAGAGAGAGAGAGAGAGAGAGCUACCAGCCUAGUUGGAUAAGCAGGUAUGAAGUCAAUCAAACAGCCCUUGUAACCAAGUUGAACAAUAUUUCAAGUUUCCCCUAACAAGCCUAUUUUUCUACCAUUUUAAUAACCAAUAUCACACAUCCUAUUUGCGAAGCAUAAAAAUAAUUAACAUGAGAAAGUUUUUAAGAGGAGCAUUUAUCCAAGAGAGCAAAAUAGUAUCAAUAUGAGUGGUCGAAAGCUUUGGGAGUUAUGAAGGUUUUGAACUAGUGCUUUGAACUUCAAACACAUUUUCCUUGAAUCCAUCAGAUGACAUGGGGGAAACAAGCAACAUCGCAUGUAUGUCUAGAUGUGGAUGUGCAUGUUUGUGUAGGUUU